CGGACGGGUGGGGAGUGUCUGGGAAACUGCCUGAUGGAGGGGGAUAACUACUGGAAACGGUAGCUAAUACCGCAUAACGUCGCAAGACCAAAGAGGGGGACCGUUCGGGCCUCUUGCCAUCGGAUGUGCCCAGAUGGGAUUAGCUAGUAGGUGGGGUAACGGCUCACCUAGGCGACGAUCCCUAGCUGGUCUGAGAGGAUGACCAGCCACACUGGAACUGAGACACGGUCCAG
Molecule: ribosomal RNA, 233 nt
Filed under: uncultured bacterium
Lineage: Bacteria
Description: partial 16S ribosomal RNA
Rfam family: Bacterial small subunit ribosomal RNA
Source: RNAcentral